GAAGAGUGGCAGGACCUGGAAGAUGCUCAGAAGAUUCUAUACAAGGAUGUGAUGCUGGAGACCUCAGCAACCUGAUGUUUUUGGAACAAUCCAUUGCCAAACCUGCAGUGAUCAUCAAGUUGGAGCAAGGAGGAGAUCCAUGGAUAUUAGAAGAAGUUCCCAGCUUGAGCCUCCCAGGAGAGAAGCUCUAUAAGUGUAAACAGUGUAAGAAAACAUUUUCCCAGAAUUCAAACCUUACUGUACAUCAUGGCGAAAUUCUAUGAAAAUGAAAUGUGUGGAAAAAUGUUCUACAAAAAGUCAUGCUUCACUGUGCACCAGACAACUCACACACACUGGAGAGAAAUCCUAUGAAUGUGGGGAAUGUGGAAAAUCUUUCAGUCCCAAGUCAGUCUUGAGUAGACAUUGGAAAACUCAUAUAGUAAAGAAACCCUAUGAAUGUGAACAAUAUCAGAAAAUGUGCUCCCAGAAGUCACAUCUCACUGAACAUCAGAGAACUCACACAGGAGAGAAAACCUUUGAAUGUGAACAGUAUGGGAAAACAUUCUCCAGCAAGGAGUACUUCACUGUACAUUAGAGAACUCACACAGGAGAGAAGCCCUAUGAAUGUGAACAAUGUAGGAAAAUGUUC
Long non-coding RNA from Tupaia belangeri chinensis (Chinese tree shrew), 628 nucleotides. RefSeq lists it as uncharacterized. The transcript is spliced from 3 exons. The record is from RefSeq and is a predicted model, not a curated record. Lineage: Eukaryota; Metazoa; Chordata; Mammalia; Scandentia; Tupaiidae.